AGGGUUGGUCUCUUUUUGACCGGUGAGUUGAGAACUUCCUUUUAGGAGUAGCGGCAUCCAUUGGUGGCCGGAGGAAGGAGUUCCGGCAAGGUGAAGGCAGCCAGAAUUUCGAGCUUUUCCGGCAAGUUCCGGCGAGGAAUGGAUGAUCGAAGGGCAUAUAUUCAGACUCUCCUUAGCUCAAGCUUUCCAAUGGCACCAGUUUCGUGGCGAUCGGACUCCGUUUGAAAAUCGACGGUUGAGAUCGUCCGUAAAUUUCUUCGGAUAAUUGGGGGUCGGAUCGGAAGAUCGGAUGCUAGAAUCAUCAUCAGCGCGUUGUUUUGAGUCCAUAGGCGCGUUCGGAUCGUCGAUCAGACUCCGGCGGCUGAAGGCGAAUCGACCGAGUGAUCAAGCGUCUCGGUUCUGGAUCCGUUUUACGGGGGGUAAACGUCCGUGUUUAAGGGAGGUUCUACCGAAUUUUCGAUAAAUCUGUCAGUUCAGCUCGCUUCACCCAAGGCAUCGGAGCAGGGCUAGGAGAUCGUCAAAACUGAUAAUGACAAUAAAACAUGCCACUUGAUGGAUUGCAUUAGGACCGCGUGCGCACUAAUAUGAAUUUGAGUCAGGUAAUCGAAGAAUAGUUUAGAACUUGCUCUGGUCGAGUUUAACUCUCUGGACUGAGUAGAAUGAGUUGCAUGAGUAAAGGUUCAUGGUUGAGCAUUGCUCUCUAGGCGCCGACUUUGUUGGAAAUUUAAAUGACCAGACUGGAUUUAAGGAUGCUGGUCGAGCUUCGCUCUCUGGGCACCAGUUCUGUUGGAACGAGAGAGCCGAAAGGCUAAGACUGUUUAGUAAUGGGGAUUAGGAUUCUACUGAAGCACUCCAUCCCGUAAUAU
Molecule: long non-coding RNA, 866 nt
Organism: Ricinus communis (castor bean)
Lineage: Eukaryota; Viridiplantae; Streptophyta; Magnoliopsida; Malpighiales; Euphorbiaceae
Exons: 4
Source: RefSeq, a predicted model, not a curated record